Mastomys coucha (southern multimammate mouse) is the source of this 593-nucleotide long non-coding RNA. RefSeq lists it as uncharacterized. The record is from RefSeq and is a predicted model, not a curated record. The transcript is spliced from 2 exons. NCBI's taxonomy places the organism in Eukaryota, Metazoa, Chordata, Mammalia, Rodentia, Muridae.
CGGCGACCCCGCCCCGCGCACACCCCCGGCGCCGAGCUCCGCCCCUCCCGGGGAGCCAUUGUUCCUGAGGCGGGCGGGGGCGCGGGCCGGGGUCGCCGAUCCCUCCGGCUGGCCGGACAGCGCGGAGGAUGCUGGAGAGCGCUGCGGGACAGUGUCUCAGAAGCCCUUUGUGAGCCUUUCCCACGCGCCUUCUAACCCUGCAGGAGCUCAGGGGGUCUUUCGUGUGUUUUCCAGGUGGAGGUAAAGGCAAAAGGUGACUUGUCCAAGAUCUACACCUCUAAUACCAUUUAUGGUUUGCCUUCAACCUCUGAGCUGUUAGCCUGGCACUCCCUGAUGCCCUGAACCAAGAGUGACCCAGCCCCUUCCUGCUCAGCUACAGCAGAGACCUCCUUCUGAGGUGAGACUCCCAGCAGCCUCUCUGCUAAAGCUUGAUGCUCCGGAUACUUCUUCCAUGAACAGUGUCUUCACACUCCCCGCCCCAGUAUCCUGCCUUAAGUUUCCAUUUGCCUGCUAAUCGUGGCCCAGGCAAAAAUACAAAGAGGGCUCAACCUUAUUUAAACUGAAAGCAAAUAACCCUAGGUCAUGAAUCACAA